RNAcentral lists this long non-coding RNA (1551 nucleotides) under Citrus sinensis (sweet orange). Its description in RNAcentral is "long non-coding RNA (CSIN_LNC002604)". The record is from RNAcentral. Lineage: Eukaryota; Viridiplantae; Streptophyta; Magnoliopsida; Sapindales; Rutaceae.
GUUUACUUGUUAAAGCUGACGUUGGGAAUAGAAAUGAAGUGUUGGGAUCCAUACAAAAUCAGGUUGAGUUCUGCUAUUUACCCCGGGUCAAAUUCCGGGUCAAACCCCGAAAAUUAAAACAAAACGACGUCGUUUUCUCUUCUUCAUGAAACGCUACCGUUUCACCCUAGCAAAAGCAAACGUUCCUCUCUUCGUUUUUGUCUCUCUCUCUCUCUCUUGCUCUGUGUCUCCUAAAAAAGCAAAGCAUAGCAACAAACAAAAUCAGAGAGGAGAGAGAGACCUCUCGGAGCUUUAAAACAAAAAAAUAAAAACAAGCUCUCUGUAUCAUCAAUCGACUGCAAAAGCAUAGAUUCUUAGUUGAGAUUCGAACUGUUCAACCGCGGAUUGGAUAACGAGAAGGGGAAUCCGCUUUUCACAUUCUCCUUUCUUUCUCCUCUUCGUUUUCGUCUUCCCCUCUUUGUUUUCUCGUCUUCGUUUUCGUCUGCAAUUUGUGCUUGAAUUGGUCUAGAAUUUGUGCUGAUUUGGUCUGCAAUUUGUGCUUGAAUUUGUCUGGAAUUUGUGCUUGAGUUGGUCUGCAAUUUGUGCUUGAUUUGGUCUGGAAAUUGUGCUGAUUUGGUCUGGAAUUUGAGCUGAUUUGGUCUGCAAAAAAUACAGCGUUCACUCAACGGCGGGACAAGGUUUCUUGGAAUGCUGUGUUGACUGGCUAUGCUCGUCGUGUUCAGAGUGAAGAAGCUAUGACAUCUUUCUCAGAGAUGCAAUGGGAGACAAGACCUUGUAAAUUUACAUUUGAAACUCUUUUUGGCAGCAUGUGCAAACAUUUCUUCUCUUGAGCAAGGCAAACAAAUUCAUUGUUUCAUGAUUAGAAAUUGUUACAAGAUAAAUGUUGUAUGCAGAGGAGCUUUAGUUGAGGUGUACACUAAAUGCCGUUGUCUUGAGUAUGCAAUACGGGUUUUCAAGGAGUCAUCUUCAUUGGAUGUGAUUAUUUGCAACUCUAUGAUUUUGGGAUUUUGUCAUAACGAAAGGGGCAGAGAAGCACUUGAAUUUUUUCUGCCUUAGUUUGUUUUGUUUUUACUAGCUCAAACGACUACGUUUCAUGCAAGUAAAAAAAAAAAAACAAAACAAAAACGACGCCGUUUUGAAAUAAUUCGGGAUUUGACCCAGGGUUUGACCCGGGGAAAGUAUCAUUUUCCAAUCAGGUUUGAUUAUUGGAGUUCUGAUUUCAGCGGGGAUUUGGGAAUCAGAAGCCCAUUCCCGCGAAUGACAAAAUUAUCCCCAUUAUAUUUUUUAUUUUACUAAAAUACCCUCUUUACAAUUAAAUAAUAAAAAUUGAAAAAAAUGAAAAACCCACGAAAUCCUUAACCCAGCGGCCAACUGACCCACUCGUCGUCUAUCAUCUGGAACCAAAGAAACGAUCGGCGGCAGCACCUUCGCCAGUUGCAGGCCAUCUCUGUUGCUUGUCAUCGGUCGGAUGUCGCCGCUGUCAAUGUUCAGGCUCUCCGUCGUCGUCGAAGAACAAUUGAAUUAUGAUGAUUAUUGAUGGUAAGAUUGGUG